Molecule: ribosomal RNA, 487 nt
Filed under: uncultured bacterium
Lineage: Bacteria
Description: partial 16S ribosomal RNA
Rfam family: Bacterial small subunit ribosomal RNA
Source: RNAcentral
GAUGAACGCUAGCGAUAGGCCUAACACAUGCAAGUCGAGGGGCAGCACAAGGUAGCUUGCUAUCUGGGUGGCGACCGGCGCACGGGCGCGUAACGCGUAUGCAACUUGCCCUAUACAGGAGGAUAACCCGUCGAAAGACGGACUAAUACUGCGUAUGCUCACAACUUGGCAUCAAGUGGUGAGGAAAGAAAUUCGGUAUAGGAUAGGCAUGCGUCCCAUUAGCUUGUUGGUGAGGUAACGGCUCACCAAGGCAACGAUGGGUAGGGGAACUGAGAGGUUUAUCCCCCACACUGGUACUGAGACACGGACCAGACUCCUACGGGAGGCAGCAGUGAGGAAUAUUGGUCAAUGGGCGCGAGCCUGAACCAGCCAAGUCGCGUGAAGGAUGACUGUCUUAUGGAUUGUAAACUUCUUUUAUACGGGAAUAACAAGAGUCACGUGUGACUCCCUGCAUGUACCGUAUGAAUAAGCAUCGGCUAACUCCGUG